This 632-nucleotide ribosomal RNA is filed under the name uncultured bacterium. RNAcentral's name for it is "bacterial SSU rRNA". It matches the Rfam family "Bacterial small subunit ribosomal RNA", at positions 97 to 728 of the family's 1533-position model. The record is from RNAcentral.
GGCGAACGGGUGAGUAAUGAUCGGAACGUGCCCAGUAGCGGGGGAUAACUACGCGAAAGCGUAGCUAAUACCGCAUACGCCCUACGGGGGAUAGCAGGGGAUCGCAAGACCUUGCACUAUUGGAGCGGCCGAUAUCGGAUUAGCUAGUUGGUGGGGUUACGGCUCACCAAGGCGACGAUCCGUAGCUGGUUUGAGAGGACGACCAGCCACACUGGGACUGAGUCACGGCCCAGACUCCUACGGGGGCAGCACUGGGGAAUUUUGGACAAUGGGGGAAACCCUGAUCCAGCCUUCCCGCGUGUGCGAUGAAGGCCUUCGGGUUGUAAAGCACUUUUGGCAGGAAAGAAACGUCGCGGGUUAAUACCCCGCGAAUCUGACGGUACCUGCAGAAUAAGCACCGGCUAACUACGUGCCAGCAGGCGCGGUAAUACGUACGGUGCAAGCGUUAAUCGGAAUUACUGGGCGAAAAGCGUGCGCAGGCGGUUGGAAAGAAAGAUGUGAAAUCCCAGAGCUUAACUUUGGAACUGCAUUUAUAACUACCGGGCUAGAGUGUGUCAGAGGGAGGUGGAAUUCCGCGUGUAGCAGUGAAAUGAGUAGAAAUGCGGAGGAACACCGAUGGCGAAGGCAGACUC